CCCGGAGCUGCCGCGUUGGCUGUUUUUUGAGAACGGACCAUGGAUAAGGAGUUUGAGGUCUGAGCAUGGGAGGCCCAAGUGGUCAGCCAUUUAGAGAUGGUGUCAGCCCUCAAGAGACACACUGCCACGGAUUCCCUGCUGCAGAUGGUCUCCACCACGGGUUCUCACCACCGCACAGUGUCAUUGUUGAAGGCCCUGCCUACACAACUUCUUGGAUACAGGCGGAUGCCAAAACCAGGUCCUGACCCGCGGCCAGAGGCCCUAUGCCGAGCUCCGAAAGUAUGAUCCUGCUUGUUUGUUUUCUCAUUGUCUGUUAUUUCCCUGGGCAGAAGACGACAGGCACACCGAAUCAGGAGAGAAGAAAAGCCUGAGGUAGGUCCUCAGGAGGGCACCUCCCGGGAGGACACCUGUGACGCCUGCAGGAAACUUCAGGGCCUCAGGACGGUGCCCAGCCAGGGGAGAGUAAUUACAUUUGGGAAGAACCUGCUGACUGCCAGGCACUUUGGCACAUGUGAUCCUGUUUACUCCAGACAACACUGAGAGAGAAACAGUGUGAGUUGCAUUUAUUUUUAUUGAAAUACAGUUGAUAAGCAAUAGUAUAUUGGUUUCAGAUAAACAACAUAGUGAUUCGAUGAUUAUUUACUUUGCUAAAUGCAUACCAUGAUAACUGUAGUUGCUGUCUGUCACCAUACAAAGAUAUCACAAUAUUAUUCACUAUAUUCCCAUUUUACAGAGGAGGGCAAUGAGGCUCAGUGUGCUGAGGGGCCCAGGGCUCCACAGCUCUGAGAUGCUUGAGUGCUCCCUCCUGCCUGGAGGGGCACCGCUUCCCCAGCCCUCCCCCACCCCCAACAGUUCACUGCAAGUGAAGUCAAGAAAGACAUGAAAGAAACAGGCUGAGCAGGAAUCACAAAAAGGCAGCCUAAAGGGUUGUGUGAGCUAAGGAAGGGCUGUUACCUUGGUAGAAGAUGGGGAAGGAAUGGUUCAUUCUAGCCCCUAGAACUCAGCCUAACACAUAGUAGGUUCUAUAUAUACAUUAUAGCAGCUAAUGCACACACACACAUGUGUAUGUAUAUGUGUGUGUGUAUAUAUGUAUAUGUAUAUGUGUGUAUAUAUAUAUAUAUAUAUGUUGCAAAUGAUAUAAUGGAUACUUGCCCUGAACACUGCUUAAGCACCUGCUCUGUAACAAGACCUGGGGCAGACCAGUGGAGCACAAGGACAAAUUCCAACACAAAAAAUCUCUAAGUUUACCAUGGAGAAGACUCAUUUCCCAAUGACUCUCAUGCUAGAAGAGAAACAUGAUAUCACAAGCUGGAAAAAGGGUGAGAGAAAAGUACAAGGGUGGAAAAUGCUAACUUCCACCUGGAGAAGCUCGGGAAGGCUUCCUGGAGGAGGGAGCAUUUUAGCUGGGCCUUGGAACAUACAUAACAAUAACAACAACCAUAAUCUGUUAACAACUGUUGACCACUUGCUAUGUGGCAGGCAUUGCAUAAGCCCUUCUCAUAUACAGCACAUCAUGUAAUUGUUUUAGUAAAUCUACAAGGCAGGCACUGUUGUUAUUCCCAUUAUACAGGUGAGGACACUGAGAUACGGUUAUAACAAACCAGUAGUGACUGAAGCAGGGUUAGAAUCCCAGGUGUAUCUGGGACUUGUCUACCUAGUCAGAGGUGAGGCUGAGAAGGAGAAACAGGUAUGCCCAACCCAGCGGGACGACUCCUGGAGUGUACUUCCCACAUAGGGGCAGGAAGUGGGCACAUGCAGGGAGGAGAAGGAAGUAAAGCCUAUUCCUGUUUGAGGGGCAGUCUCUGUGCCCAGUAGUAAACAGCCACAUAGUGAACAGCAAACUAACAAAUCAGAUAAAACACUUAUUGCUUGCAGAAUAAUAAAGUUGGAAAGUUGGGAUUGUUUGCUCCAAAGUUCCCCAAGUGUGAGCAUGUUAAGAAGGGAAAUGGACAAAGGGCCCAUUUGCCCACCAAUAAUAGCUACCACUUACUAUAGGCAAUGCAUGUACUAAGCUUUUGCAAGUAUUAUCUCAUUUUAGUUUUCAUAAAACACUCUAAGAACUAUAGAUGAUACCCAUUGAUUGUGAAUCAUGUGCCAGGCAUUGUUCUAGGUGCUUCUAUAGGUUUAAACACAUUGGAUCCUCAAAACAACUCUAUACAAUAGGUAUUAUUAUUAUCCCCAUUUUACAGAAGAGGAAACUGAGGCAUAAGGCAAUUAAGUAUUUAUCCCAAGGUAAUACAGAUGAUAAAUGGAAGAACCAGGAUUUGAACUCAGGCAGUCUGGCUCCAGAACUCACGCCAUUCGCCACUAUCUAUUCUGCCCUGUAAAGUAGGCAUUAUUAUCCACAUCAAACAAAGAAGGAGGUCGAGGCCCAGCAGGAUUAUAUGAAAAGUGUGAACCCAACAUCCACAUUCUUAACCAAUGCUAAUAGUGUCCCUCAUCCUGCCACUGACAUACAGUAUGCUGUGCAUAUGUCACUUCUCUCCAUGCCUCUGUUUUGUCACCUGAAAAAGGAGAGGAAAAAUCUUGACAUUUUCCAAGAGCCUGGUCAGUUCAGACCUCCCAGGACAGGGUGGGAAGUUUUAACAUCCCAGGGUAUCACCUGAGCAGGAAACCAGCUACUUCCUGGAAGACAAACCACAGCCUAACCUUUAACAGCUGCUCAUUCGCAUGAAGAAAAUUCAGGGAUCCUGUCAGCACUCCUCAACCCCAAACCCCCCACGGUGGACAGUCUCACAGCCGCCAACAGUUUCUCCCAUCUCUGUACAUACGUUCUGCUCCUCGGCAAGACAUGGAGUCCACUUCCCCUCAGCUUAAAUCUGGUCUGGCCUUGGGAUUAACUUUGCUCAAACGACUGUGAGGGAGAUGAUGUCCUAGGACUCCUGAGCCUGCUCUUGGGAGUGUGCAGAGCUCCAUCUCCUGCUCCUUAGGCGUCCACUAUUAGGCUGCAGAGAAGCUCAGGCUGGACUGCAAUGAUGAGAAGCCACACGGGAGGAUGAGACGCCACCUGGGAUGUUCCAAUCCCGGGCGAGCUCCCAGCUGAACGCAGCUCCUUGGCUAACCUUGGCUUCACCGCACAGAGCAGAAAACUGCCCACUCUUCAGAGACAUAAUAAACCAUUGUUGUUUUAAACCACUAUGCUUUGGCGUAGUUUG
Molecule: long non-coding RNA, 3155 nt
Organism: Manis javanica (Malayan pangolin)
Lineage: Eukaryota; Metazoa; Chordata; Mammalia; Pholidota; Manidae
Source: RefSeq, a predicted model, not a curated record